RNAcentral lists this ribosomal RNA (429 nucleotides) under uncultured Luteolibacter sp. RNAcentral's name for it is "bacterial SSU rRNA". It matches the Rfam family "Bacterial small subunit ribosomal RNA", at positions 355 to 776 of the family's 1533-position model. The record is from RNAcentral. Lineage: Bacteria; Pseudomonadati; Verrucomicrobiota; Verrucomicrobiia; Verrucomicrobiales; Verrucomicrobiaceae.
UCGAGAAUCAUUCACAAUGGGGGCAACCCUGAUGGUGCAACGCCGCGUGGAGGAAGAAGGUCUUCGGAUUGUAAACUCCUGUCAUCUAGGAGCAAGGCAUGGUGGUGAAUAGCCAACAUGAUUGAUAGUACUAGAAGAGGAAGGGACGGCUAACUUCGUGCCAGCAGCCGCGGUAAUACGAAGGUCCCGAGCGUUAUUCGGAAUCACUGGGCGUAAAGGGAGCGUAGGCGGCGUGGAAAGUCAGAUGUGAAAUCCCAGAGCUUAACUCUGGAACUGCAUCCGAUACUACCAUGCUAGAGUAUUGGAGGGGUAACUGGAAUUCUCGGUGUAGCAGUGAAAUGCGUAGAUAUCGAGAGGAACACUCGUGGCGAAAGCGAGUUACUGGACAAUUACUGACGCUGAGGCUCGAAGGCUAGGGGAGCAAAAGGG